This 505-nucleotide ribosomal RNA is filed under the name uncultured bacterium. Its description in RNAcentral is "partial 16S ribosomal RNA". It matches the Rfam family "Bacterial small subunit ribosomal RNA", at positions 28 to 507 of the family's 1533-position model. The record is from RNAcentral.
GACGAACGCUGGCGGCGUGCCUAAUACAUGCAAGUAGAACGCACAGUUUAUACCGUACCUUGCUACACCAUAGACUGUGAGUUGCGAACGGGUGAGUAACGCGUAGGUAACCUGCCUGGUAGCGGGGGAUAACUAUUGGAAACGAUAGCUAAUACCGCAUAAUAUUGAUUAUUGCAUGAUAAUUGAUUGAAAGAUGCUAUUGCAUCACUACCAGAUGGACCUGCGUUGUAUUAGCUAGUAGGUGAGGUAACGGCUCACCUAGGCGACGAUACAUAGCCGGCCUGAGAGGGUGAUCGGCCACACUGGGACUGAGACACGGCCCAGACUCCUACGGGAGGCAGCAGUAGGGAAUCUUCGGCAAUGGACGAAAGUCUGACCGAGCAACGCCGCGUGAGUGAAGAAGGUUUUCGGAUCGUAAAGCUCUGUUGUAAGAGAAGAACGGGUGUGAGAGUGGAAAGUUCACACUGUGACGGUAUCUUACCAGAAAGGGACGGCUAACUACGUG